RNAcentral lists this ribosomal RNA (343 nucleotides) under uncultured Bacteroidales bacterium. RNAcentral describes it as "bacterial SSU rRNA". It matches the Rfam family "Bacterial small subunit ribosomal RNA", at positions 22 to 364 of the family's 1533-position model. Lineage: Bacteria; Pseudomonadati; Bacteroidota; Bacteroidia; Bacteroidales. The record is from RNAcentral.
GCUCAGGAUGAACGCUAGCUACAGGCUUAACACAUGCAAGUCGAGGGGUAGCAGGGUAGCAAUACCGCUGACGACCGGCGCACGGGUGAGUAACACGUAUCCAACCUUCCCAUAACUCGGGGAUAGCCUUUCGAAAGAAAGAUUAAUACCCGAUAGUACUUUAUUAAGGCAUCUUAAGAAAGUUAAAGAUUUAUUGGUUAUGGAUGGGGAUGCGUUCCAUUAGAUAGUUGGUGAGGUAACGGCUCACCAAGUCUUCGAUGGAUAGGGGUUCUGAGAGGAAGGUCCCCCACAUUGGUACUGAGACACGGACCAAACUCCUACGGGAGGCAGCAGCGAGGAAUAU